UGGCUCAGAUUGAACGCUGGCGGCAGGCUUAACACAUGCAAGUCGAGCGGUAGCACAGGGGAGCUUGCUCCCUGGGUGACGAGCGGCGGACGGGUGAGUAAUGUCUGGGAAACUGCCUGAUGGAGGGGGAUAACUACUGGAAACGGUAGCUAAUACCGCAUAACGUCGCAAGACCAAAGAGGGGGACCUUCGGGCCUCUUGCCAUCAGAUGUGCCCAGAUGGGAUUAGCUAGUAGGUGGGGUAAUGGCUCACCUAGGCGACGAUCCCUAGCUGGUCUGAGAGGAUGACCAGCCACACUGGAACUGAGACACGGUCCAGACUCCUACGGGAGGCAGCAGUGGGGAAUAUUGCACAAUGGGCGCAAGCCUGAUGCAGCCAUGCCGCGUGUGUGAAGAAGGCCUUCGGGUUGUAAAGCACUUUCAGCGAGGAGGAAGGUGGUGAGCUUAAUACGCUCAUCA
RNAcentral lists this ribosomal RNA (458 nucleotides) under uncultured bacterium. RNAcentral describes it as "bacterial SSU rRNA". It matches the Rfam family "Bacterial small subunit ribosomal RNA", at positions 20 to 474 of the family's 1533-position model. The record is from RNAcentral.